UUGGUCCCAAGGCUCGCU
Molecule: small RNA, 18 nt
Filed under: Arabidopsis thaliana (thale cress)
Lineage: Eukaryota; Viridiplantae; Streptophyta; Magnoliopsida; Brassicales; Brassicaceae
Description: AGO1_4588
Source: RNAcentral